Molecule: long non-coding RNA, 1154 nt
Organism: Aedes albopictus (Asian tiger mosquito)
Lineage: Eukaryota; Metazoa; Arthropoda; Insecta; Diptera; Culicidae
Exons: 2
Source: RefSeq, a predicted model, not a curated record
AGCUCGAUUUGAAUAGGUCCUAAGUGAUUUUUUUGUUUAUCGAAGAUAAUGAUUGGCAAAGUUUUGGAGUGGAAAAUUAAUUCCUAUUUAACAUUUAUAAGGAAAAUGUGUGCAAAUUUCGUGCCAAAAAUACAAAUAAAAAUUGUUGUACAACUCGAGUAAUCAAAAUAAUGAUUUUUCAUAUAAAACAAUUGUUUUUGAAUAUAAAAAUUGUUUCGCGUCUAAAUGAGCUUUAUACUUGUACAUUCGACCUAACCGAUUCGACCUAAUGUCAGUCACUAUGUUGCUUUCGACAGUGAUGUUCAGACUGUUUGACAGUUGUUUGUGUACAUUCGACCGGCGACGAUCGGACUGUUUGAUCACUGCUAUCGCACAUACGACCCAUCAUUAUUGAAUAAAAAUACAAACAAUAAAUCAUAUUUUGAGGACAUAUUUAGGCGAAUUAAGCAUAGCACAUUUGCCGAUCCAUGGCGCCACAAUACGUUGAUACAAGGAGCUGCAAUAUGCCGAUUCAUGGCGACUCAAAGAAAGCUGCAGAACAAGCUAAAAUGGAACAAACGACGAAGAUCCCAACCGUCCGGAGGAAAUAGAAGAAAUCAGUGGAGAUACAAUCACCGACGAAAUACGAAUACGGCCGAUUCAUAUGAUGACGAUUAUCGGUAUGCUGACUGUGGGAAUCCGAAGAUUCCUAUAUUGCAUCGCGAGAACCUUCAGCAAAACAGAUGCAAUUUGUCAAUGUGCUGCGAACGAGCCACGAAUGAAUCGAGAUAACUUAUCUAUAUGUGCUGAGCCAACACAGUGAACGGCUUUUCGUGGUGUUCUCGACAACCCGAGAGAACCGGGGAGAGAACAAGGAAGGAAGAUUUCAAACGGGUUUUGCAAAUCACGAUGACUAAAUUAGCUUCCGGCUUCUUACGUUCAAAACGAUUAACCCGGGAAAUGGUGCUGACCGAUGUGGGAACCCGAUUUAUGCUGAAGCUACAUCAGAUCAAGUUGGGAACGAGGUUGGGAACGCUGAUGCGGCGUAACAGAAUGGGUCUAUCGACCGUACAUGAACACGGCCGCCAAACGGCCACGACGACGGGUGGUAGCAGGAUUAUGAUACAAUGUUAAGGGCGAGGAUAAGGGUAUAACAAUAAAGAUUAUAUUGUUAA